Non-coding RNA from Podarcis lilfordi (Lilford's wall lizard), 134 nucleotides. The record is from the annotation of a GenBank genome assembly. NCBI's taxonomy places the organism in Eukaryota, Metazoa, Chordata, Lepidosauria, Squamata, Lacertidae.
ACAAAACGGGGGGAGGGAAGUCAAAUAUAUGUGUAAUAGAAAUGUAUUUUUGUAAUUUGUUUGUCUGCGUAUCUUUGAAAAAAAUCCCAUACAUUUCUAUUACACUUAUAUUUGACUCCCCACCCCCCUUUUGU